This 497-nucleotide ribosomal RNA is filed under the name uncultured bacterium. Its description in RNAcentral is "partial 16S ribosomal RNA". It matches the Rfam family "Bacterial small subunit ribosomal RNA", at positions 28 to 507 of the family's 1533-position model. The record is from RNAcentral.
GACGAACGCUGGCGGCGUGCCUAAUACAUGCAAGUUGAGCGCUGAAGGUUGGUACUUGUACCAACUGGAUGAGCAGCGAACGGGUGAGUAACGCGUGGGGAAUCUGCCUUUGAGCGGGGGACAACAUUUGGAAACGAAUGCUAAUACCGCAUAAAAACUUUAAACACAAGUUUUAAGUUUGAAAGAUGCAAUUGCAUCACUCAAAGAUGAUCCCGCGUUGUAUUAGCUAGUUGGUGAGGUAAAGGCUCACCAAGGCGAUGAUACAUAGCCGACCUGAGAGGGUGAUCGGCCACAUUGGGAAUGAGAAACGGCCCAAACCCCUACGGGAGGCAGCAGUAGGGAAUCUUCGGCAAUGGACGAAAGUCUGACCGAGCAACGCCGCGUGAGUGAAGAAGGUUUUCGGAUCGUAAAACUCUGUUGGUAGGGAAGAACGUUGGUGAGAGGGGAAAGCUCAUCAAGUGACGGUAACUAACCAGAAAGGGACGGCUAACUACGUG